GAGCGGCCAUCUUUCCGCGCACGCAACUGGUGCCGGGCGGGCCGGCCGGGGUGGGACGGCACAUCGCGGAGCGAGACGGGCCACCAAGCCGCCCGUCUCACUCCACAGGCCUCUCCCGCGCCCGACUCGGUGGCCACGGCCCGCGGGCCCCGCCUCGCCGGACAUGUGCGCUGGGACGAGCGGGCCUCGCCGCCACCCUCCGCGCCUCGGGGCGGUCCCUCAACCCCGACGACCUCGAAAAAGCCCACCCUGUCGAGAUCGGGACCAACCUCCGCUGAACUAUCUCAACACAGCAGGCCUUUGUUUCCUGAAAGGAAGAGCUGAUAGUGAUUGAGGAAAACAAAUUUGGAAUGAUAAAGAACUUCCCAUUCAUUCCUCACAAUCUGUGCACUUACCAGUUUACACACAUUCUUAUAUCUUUCUCUUACUGCCACAUCCCUCCUCAACAAGGUCUGAAGCCUUCAUUAGGACUACGACACAAUCCUUAUUCUUGCUGACAUCAAGAGUCAUGUUUUUAUAAAUAAAAUAUCUUAAUCCAAUCAAAA
Molecule: long non-coding RNA, 545 nt
Organism: Suricata suricatta (meerkat)
Lineage: Eukaryota; Metazoa; Chordata; Mammalia; Carnivora; Herpestidae
Exons: 2
Source: RefSeq, a predicted model, not a curated record